This 254-nucleotide ribosomal RNA is filed under the name uncultured bacterium. Its description in RNAcentral is "partial 16S ribosomal RNA". It matches the Rfam family "Bacterial small subunit ribosomal RNA", at positions 524 to 776 of the family's 1533-position model. The record is from RNAcentral.
UACGGGGGGGGGUAAGCGUUGUUCGGAAUUACUGGGCGUAAAGGGCUCGUAGUCGGCCAACUAAGUCGGACGUGAAAUCCCUCGGCUUAACUGGGGAACUGCGUCCGAUACUGGAUGGCUUGGAUUUGGGAGAGGGAUGCGGAAUUCCAGGUGUAGCGGUGAAAUGCGUAGAUAUCGAGAGGAACACCUGCGGCGAAGGCGGGUUGCUGGGCUGACACUGACGCUGAGGCGCGAAAGCUAGGGGAGCGAACGGG